GACGGAGGGGGCUAGCGUUGUUCGGAUUUACUGGGCGUAAAGGGCGCGUAGGCUGCCAUGUGUGUCAGGGGUGAAAUCCCAAGGCUUAACCUUGGAACUGCUUCUGAAACUGCAUGGCUAGAGGAAUAGAGAGGCGAGUGGAAUUCCGAGUGUAGCAGUGAAAUGCGCAGAUAUUCGGAGGAACAUCAGUGGCGAAGGCGACUCGCUGGCUAUUAUCUGACGCUGAGGCGCGAAAGCGUGGGGAGCAAACAGG
Molecule: ribosomal RNA, 253 nt
Filed under: uncultured bacterium
Lineage: Bacteria
Description: partial 16S ribosomal RNA
Rfam family: Bacterial small subunit ribosomal RNA
Source: RNAcentral